RNAcentral lists this long non-coding RNA (1210 nucleotides) under Strigops habroptila (Kakapo). RNAcentral describes it as "lncRNA (ENSSHBG00005020300.1)". The record is from RNAcentral. Lineage: Eukaryota; Metazoa; Chordata; Aves; Psittaciformes; Psittacidae.
AACAUUUUUAAAUCGUGCCUAGGAAUUAAAUUCCAGAACUGGUCAAAUUUUGGGGGGUCUCUUUUGUUUUUGUGGGGUUUUUUUUUAAAAAAAAGACAUUUCAUUAGGAAACUUUUUUGUUUCCUUUAUUAGUUUAGGUCCAACAAGUAAAUUUUUACUGGUUUCAAAGCUGCUAACCUAUUUCAUUGCAGGAUAUGAUGUUUAAAAUAUAGCAUUAUGUUAUGGUCUCAAAGGUGGUGUUCUGGUGCUAGGGUUAAAGGUGUGUAUGUAUAUAAUUUCCCUUUUUUAUCCGAAACUCCAGUUGAAUGUUGUUCAGUAUGGCACCUAUAACAAAAUUAACUUUGGAUUUGACUUUUUUUUUUUCCUAAAGGAUAAAACGGAUGCAGCUCAUAGUGUUGUGACUCAACACUGAAUUCUUUUCCUCGCUACUUUAAAAUCGUCUCUAAAAAACCAUUGAAAACAGGCUUGAAAAACGUCAGAUUUUUUUAAUUAACAUUCAAAGUACUUAGAAGUUCUUUAGGGCAGUGUUCUUAACUGGUAUGACGAGUGUCGUCCUACCUCCUAAUGUGAAAUCUUCCAUAUAGACAUGAAAUUGCACCUUUUAAUGAAUCCUUUAAAAAAGUCUCUACCAUACUAUAAACAUGCAUUUUCAAUCUGUAAGAAAGUAUAUAUGCAGUAUUUAACCAGAGAAAUACGCUGCCACUAGAGUUUGGAGGUGGAUCUUCAGUUUACAGUGUAUACAUUUAAAAUAUGCAUCCCUUUAAACAAUGCUUUGUGUUAGCAUGCUGCAAAUCAAAUGGCGCUUAAUAUAACAAGCUGGUCUAGGGCUAUUUAAUGAAAAACCUGUUCAUAAAUGUUAUGCAUAUAAUGUGUAUUUUUUACUUUUUUAGUUGCUUCAUGUUUGCACACAGCUGUUCACAUGAUAAAUUGUAACUUCAUGCUAUAUUGUGGCUUUGUGUUUCAGAAAUGUUCAUAUUUUGUUUUUGCACCAGAUGAGAAUCAGUUCCUUGAGAAUAAAUUUUUUUUAUAUUUCUAAACUUCAGAAAGUUAAAUUUGGGAAAUCUCUUAGAAAAAUCCGUGUUUUAUGUGGCUGUAAAAAAUGAUGUACACGCUGUAAAAUAAGAUUGUCACUGUUAUGUGGGAUUAUUAUUUCUAAAUGUGUUACUCAUCGUAACGGGCAUACAAUAAAACGCAUCUCUUGCACUCCAAA